This 427-nucleotide ribosomal RNA is filed under the name uncultured bacterium. RNAcentral's name for it is "partial 16S ribosomal RNA". It matches the Rfam family "Bacterial small subunit ribosomal RNA", at positions 355 to 774 of the family's 1533-position model. The record is from RNAcentral.
UGGGGAAUAUUGCACAAUGGGCGCAAGCCUGAUGCAGCCACGCCGCGUGUAUGAAGAAGGCCUUCGGGUUGUAAAGUACUUUCAGCGAGGAGGAAGGCGUUGUGGUUAAUAACCGCAACGAUUGACGUUACUCGCAGAAGAAGCACCGGCUAACUCCGUGCCAGCAGCCGCGGUAAUAAGGAGGGUGCAAGCGUUAAUCGGAAUUACUGGGCGUAAAGCGCACGCAGGCGGUCUGUCAAGUCGGAUGUGAAAUCCCCGGGCUCAACCUGGGAACUGCAUCCGAAACUGGCAGGCUAGAGUCUUGUAGAGGGGGGUAGAAUUCCAGGUGUAGCGGUGAAAUGCGUAGAGAUCUGGAGGAAUACCGGUGGCGAAGGCGGCCCCCUGGACAAAGACUGACGCUCAGGUGCGAAAGCGUGGGGAGCAAACA